ACAUAUCCUAACACUAUAAAUGUUCAAGCUCUCUAGGAACUUGAAAGUCAAGUGCUACUAUAUGUCCAUGCUUAACCAUCAAUUAAGGCUUCAUGGUAGUCACUCAUGUUGCUUUUGGGUUGAUCAUUUGCUUUAGCAUGAAGCUUAAGGCAGGAAAUUUUUUACUUGAAUCAUAAUAUCUCGAGUUGGGCAUUGAUAAUAAGGGGCACAUAUAUGAUGAUAGAAAGGAAAUGGUUGCCACUCUGUUUCUCACCGACUCAUUUCUUCUAGCCUAAGAGCUUUUGCAAAUAUCAAUAUCCAUUCAUGCAAUGACAGAUCUUGAUUGAAUAGCCAUACUUCAUCAUAUAAAGAUUUUUUUUUUAACAAAAAGUAAGAAAAUGAAAAAAAAAAUGAACUAAAUCAUGAAAUUUAAUAGGCACAUGUCAAGAUUGAGAAAAGCUUAUGCUUCUUAUAGUGCCUAACACAAGCAAAAAAGGGAUCACAAGGAGUCCUUGGGAUGCGCUAAUUCACCAUAAAAGUUAUAUGAAGCAAUAAAAGAACACUUGAAGUAAGAAAGAAUCGAGAAAAAGAAGAGACUGAAAAGAUAAAAUAUAAGUAAAACUAAGAAAUAAAAUGUAUAUACCCAAAAUAGUUGGGAAUACAGCAAAAUCUAAAAACAUAUGCACUUUAUUUUGGCUGAUAUAUUGACACCAUCUCUAUCUAUAGUAAUAUAUAUAAGGAA
RNAcentral lists this long non-coding RNA (721 nucleotides) under Elaeis guineensis (African oil palm). RNAcentral's name for it is "long non-coding RNA (EGUI_LNC077131)". The record is from RNAcentral. Lineage: Eukaryota; Viridiplantae; Streptophyta; Magnoliopsida; Arecales; Arecaceae.